Molecule: non-coding RNA, 363 nt
Organism: Octodon degus (degu)
Lineage: Eukaryota; Metazoa; Chordata; Mammalia; Rodentia; Octodontidae
Source: the annotation of a RefSeq genome assembly
AUGGACAUGGCAGUCCCUGCUCAGCUACUGGGCCUCCUGCUGCUCUGGCUGCCAGGUGCCAGAUGUGACAUCCGGAUGACCCAGUCUCCAUACCUGUCUGCAUCACUAGGAGAAAAAGUCACUAUCACUUGCCAGGCCAGUCAGGGUAUUAGUGAUUACUUGAACUGGUAUCAGCAGAAAUCAGGGAACGCCCCUAAACGUCUAAUCUACCGGGCAACCAAUUUGGACUCUGGAGUCCCAUCAAGGUUCAGCGGCAGUGGGUCUGGGACAGAUUUCACGUUCACCAUCAGCAGCCUGGAGCCUGAAGAUGUUGCCACUUAUUACUGUAUGCAGUAUGAUGAGCUCCCUCCCACAGUGAUAUAA